This 368-nucleotide ribosomal RNA is filed under the name uncultured organism. RNAcentral's name for it is "bacterial SSU rRNA". It matches the Rfam family "Bacterial small subunit ribosomal RNA", at positions 526 to 896 of the family's 1533-position model. The record is from RNAcentral.
CGGAGGUGGCGAGCGUUACUCGGAAUUAUUGGGUGUAAAGGGCAAGUAGGCGGUUUAUUAAGUGAGGGGUGAAAUCUACCGACUCAAUCGGUAAAUAGCCUUUCAAACUGAUAAACUUGAGGCUGGGAGAGAGAAAUGGAAUUCGCGGUGUAAGGGUGAAAUCUGUAGAUAUCGCGAAGAACACCAAAGGCGAAGGCAAUUUCCUGGUCCAGAUCUGACGCUAAAUUGCGAAAGCUAGGGGAGCAAACAGAAUUAGAUACUCUGGUAGUCCUAGCUGUAAACGAUGAGUACUAGGUGUUGGCCCGCAAGGGUUAGCGCCGCAGCUAACGCAUUAAGUACUCCACCUGGGGACUACGGCCGCAAGGCUA